This 489-nucleotide ribosomal RNA is filed under the name uncultured bacterium. Its description in RNAcentral is "bacterial SSU rRNA". It matches the Rfam family "Bacterial small subunit ribosomal RNA", at positions 29 to 522 of the family's 1533-position model. The record is from RNAcentral.
AACGAACGCUGGCGGCGCGCCUAAUACAUGCAAGUCGAGCGAGAAGGUGUAGCAAUACACUUGUAAAGCGGCGAACGGGUGAGGAAUACAUGGGUAAUCUACCAUCGAGUGGGGAAUAACCAGCCGAAAGGUUGGCUAAUACCGCGUACGCCUCCGGAUCUUCGGGUUCGGAGGGAAAGCCACACUGUGAGUGCGGCGCUCUUUGAUGAGCUCAUGUCCUAUCAGCUUGUUGGUAGGGUAACGGCCUACCAAGGCUUUGACGGGUAGCUGGUCUGAGAGGACGAUCAGCCACACUGGCACUGCGACACGGGCCAGACUCCUACGGGAGGCAGCAGUAAGGAAUAUUGCGCAAUGGGCGAAAGCCUGACGCAGCGACGCCGCGUGGGGGAUGAAGGUCUUCGGAUUGUAAACCCCUUUUGUUGAGGGAAGAAGUUCUGACGGUACCUCACGAAUAAGACACGGCUAACUAACGUGCCAGCAGCCGCGGUA